GUCCACGCUGUAAACGAUGACGACUAGGUGUGGGGUGGUUCAGUCCAUUCCGUGCCGCAGCUAACGCAUUAAGUCGUCCGCCUGGGGAGUACGGCCGCAAGGUUGAAAACUCAAAGGAAUUGACGGGGGCCCGCACAAGCGGUGGAGCAUGUGGUUCAAUUCGAUGCAGAGCGAAGAACCUUACCUGGGCUUGACAUGUAGGAAGUAGAAACCCCGAAAGGGGGACGACCCGUUAAGUCGGGAACCUGCACAGGUGGUGCAUGGCUGUCGU
RNAcentral lists this ribosomal RNA (271 nucleotides) under uncultured bacterium. Its description in RNAcentral is "partial 16S ribosomal RNA". It matches the Rfam family "Bacterial small subunit ribosomal RNA", at positions 793 to 1055 of the family's 1533-position model. The record is from RNAcentral.